AACGAACGCUGGCGGCAUGCCUAACACAUGCAAGUCGAACGAGACCUUCGGGUCUAGUGGCGCACGGGUGCGUAACGCGUGGGAAUCUGCCCUUGGGUGCGGAAUAACUUCUCGAAAGGGAUGCUAAUACCGCAUAAUGUCGUAAGACCAAAGAUUUAUCGCCCAAGGAUGAGCCCGCGUAAGAUUAGCUAGUUGGUGGGGUAAAAGCCUACCAAGGCGACGAUCUUUAGCUGGUCUGAGAGGAUGAUCAGCCACACUGGGACUGAGACACGGCCCAGACUCCUACGGGAGGCAGCAGUGGGAAUAUUGGACAAUGGGCGAAAGCCUGAUCCAGCAAUGCCGCGUGAGUGAUGAAGGCCCUAGGGUUGUAAAGCUCUUUUACCAGGGAUGAUAAUGACAGUACCUGGAGAAUAAGCUCCGGCUAACUCCGUGCCAGCAGCCGCGGUAAU
Molecule: ribosomal RNA, 449 nt
Filed under: uncultured bacterium
Lineage: Bacteria
Description: bacterial SSU rRNA
Rfam family: Bacterial small subunit ribosomal RNA
Source: RNAcentral